GGAGGGGUGCGAGCGUUAAUCGGAAUUACUGGGCGUAAAGGGUGCGUAGGUUGUUAAUUAAGUUAUCUGUGAAAGCCCCGGGGCUUAACCUGGGUUGGUCAGAUAAAACUGUUUAACUAGAGUAUGGCAGAGGGUAGUGGAAUUUCCGGUGUAGCGGUGAAAUGCGUAGAUAUCGGAAGGAACACCAGUGGCGAAGGCGACUACCUGGGUUGAUACUGACACUGAGGCACGAAAGCGUGGUUAGCGAACAGGAUUAGAUACCCUGGUAGUCCACGCUGUAAACGAUGUCAACUAGCCGUUGGGCACAUAGAUGUGUUAAGUGGCGCAGCUAACGCGAUAAGUUGACCGCCUGGGGAGUACGGUCGCAAAGAUUAA
This 375-nucleotide ribosomal RNA is filed under the name uncultured organism. RNAcentral's name for it is "partial 16S ribosomal RNA". It matches the Rfam family "Bacterial small subunit ribosomal RNA", at positions 526 to 897 of the family's 1533-position model. The record is from RNAcentral.